GGUUGCGAUCAUACCAGCACUAAUGCACCGGAUCCCAUUAGAACUCCGCAGUUAAGCGUGCUUGGGCGAGAGUAGUACUAGGAUGGGUGACCCCUGGGAAGUCCUCGUGUUGCAACAC
Molecule: ribosomal RNA, 118 nt
Filed under: Helianthus annuus (common sunflower)
Lineage: Eukaryota; Viridiplantae; Streptophyta; Magnoliopsida; Asterales; Asteraceae
Source: RNAcentral